RNAcentral lists this ribosomal RNA (397 nucleotides) under uncultured bacterium. RNAcentral describes it as "partial 16S ribosomal RNA". It matches the Rfam family "Bacterial small subunit ribosomal RNA", at positions 523 to 918 of the family's 1533-position model. The record is from RNAcentral.
AUACGUAGGGGGCGAGCGUUGUCCGGAAUGAUUGGGCGUAAAGGGCGCGUAGGCGGCCCGGUAAGUCUGGAGUGAAAGUCCUGCUUUUAAGGUGGGAAUUGCUUUGGAUACUGUCGGGCUUGAGUGCAGGAGAGGUAAGUGGAAUUCCCAGUGUAGCGGUUAAAUGCGUAGAGAUUGGGAGGAACACCAGUGGCGAAGGCGACUUACUGGACUGUAACUGACGCUGAGGCGCGAAAGUGUGGGGAGCAAACAGGAUUAGAUACCCUGGUAGUCCACACUGUAAACGAUGAAUGCUAGGUGUAGGGGGUAUCGACCCCUUCUGUGCCGCAGUUAACACAAUAAGCAUUCCGCCUGGGGAGUACGGCCGCAAGGUUGAAACUCAAAGGAAUUGGCGGGG